AUGUGCGUUAUUGGGUUCUGGUUUUUUCUCCCACCUGGUCUGGACCCGCGCCCGUCCCCCGAGGGGAAGGAGGAAGGCGAGUUUUCCCGGCGGGAGCUGCAGGGAUGGAUGGCAGGGCAGAGGAGCUGUCCCGUCGGGCGAGGCAUCACCGAGUGCCGGUCGGUGGGUGCGGAACCAGCCGCCGUCGUCGGUGGGGAGGAAGGUCUGCGCAACAAGCCUCCUGACAUCCGCGUCGCUUCCAGUGACUGUAGCAGCCAAGAAGGAGCUGCCUGUUUGUGGGGGUGGGUCUCAAGACGGAGCUUUUUGGGCUUGAAUGUUAGGAGUUCAUCGCCCCCCCUCCAUGUGGACUGA
This 351-nucleotide ribosomal RNA is filed under the name Triticum aestivum (bread wheat). RNAcentral describes it as "partial small subunit ribosomal RNA". The record is from RNAcentral. Lineage: Eukaryota; Viridiplantae; Streptophyta; Magnoliopsida; Poales; Poaceae.